This 450-nucleotide ribosomal RNA is filed under the name uncultured bacterium. RNAcentral's name for it is "partial 16S ribosomal RNA". It matches the Rfam family "Bacterial small subunit ribosomal RNA", at positions 338 to 795 of the family's 1533-position model. The record is from RNAcentral.
CCUACGGGGGGCAGCAGUAAGGAAUAUUGGUCAAUGGACGAAAGUCUGAACCAGCCAUGCCGCGUGGAGGAUGAAGGUCCUCUGGAUUGUAAACUUCUUUUAUAUGGGACGAAAAAGGGACUUUCUAGUUCAACUGCCGGUACCAUAUGAAUAAGCACCGGCUAACUCCGUGCCAGCAGCCGCGGUAAUACGGAGGGUGCAAGCGUUAUCCGGAUUAACUGGGUUGAAAGGGUGCUGGGAAGGGUUGGGAGAAAUCUCCGAGCUUAACUUGGAAACUGCCAUUGAUACUAUCAGUCUUGAAUACCGUGGAGGUCAGCGGAAUAUGUCAUGUAGCGGUGAAAUGCUUAGAUAUGACAUAGAACACCAAUUGCGAAGGCAGCUGGCUACACGAAUAUUGACACUGAGGCACGAAAGCGUGGGGAUCAAACAGGAUUAGAUACCCCUGUAGUC